CUCCUGUGGACCGAUUAGUGACGAAAAUCCUGGCCAUAGUAGCAGCGAUAGUCGGGUGAGAACCCCGACGGCCUAAUGGAUAAGGGUUCCUCAGCACUGCUGAUCAGCUGAGGGUUAGCCGGUCCUAAGUCAUACCGCAACUCGACUAUGACGAAAUGGGAAACGGGUUAAUAUUCCCGUGCCACUAUGCAGUGAAAGUUGACGCCCUGGGGUCGAUCACGCCGGGCAUUCGCCCGGUCGAACCGUCCAACUCCGUGGAAGCCGUAAUGGCAGGAAGCGGACGAACGGCGGUAUAGGGAAACGUGAUUCAACCUGGGGCCCAUGAAAAGACGAGCAUAGUGUCCGUACCGAGAACCGACACAGGUGUCCAUGGCGGCGAAAGCCAAGGCCUGUCGGGAGCAACCAACGUUAGGGAAUUCGGCAAGUUAGUCCCGUACCUUCGGAAGAAGGGAUGCCUGCUCCGGAACGGAGCAGGUCGCAGUGACUCGGAAGCUCGGACUGUCUAGUAACAACAUAGGUGACCGCAAAUCCGCAAGGACUCGUACGGUCACUGAAUCCUGCCCAGUGCAGGUAUCUGAACACCUCGUACAAGAGGACGAAGGACCUGUCAACGGCGGGGGUAACUAUGACCCUCUUAAGGUAGCGUAGUACCUUGCCGCAUCAGUAGCGGCUUGCAUGAAUGGAUUAACCAGAGCUUCACUGUCCCAACGUUGGGCCCGGUGAACUGUACAUUCCAGUGCGGAGUCUGGAGACACCCAGGGGGAAGCGAAGACCCUAUGGAGCUUUACUGCAGGCUGUCGCUGAGACGUGGUCGCCGAUGUGCAGCAUAGGUAGGAG
Molecule: ribosomal RNA, 837 nt
Filed under: Haloarcula argentinensis
Lineage: Archaea; Methanobacteriati; Methanobacteriota; Halobacteria; Halobacteriales; Haloarculaceae
Description: partial 23S ribosomal RNA
Rfam family: Archaeal large subunit ribosomal RNA
Source: RNAcentral